This 497-nucleotide ribosomal RNA is filed under the name uncultured bacterium. RNAcentral describes it as "partial 16S ribosomal RNA". It matches the Rfam family "Bacterial small subunit ribosomal RNA", at positions 28 to 507 of the family's 1533-position model. The record is from RNAcentral.
GAUGAACGCUGGCGGCGUGCCUAAUACAUGCAAGUCGAGCGAACAGACGAGGAUCUUGCUCCUCUGGCGUUAGCGGCGGACGGGUGAGUAACACGUGGAUAACCUACCUAUAAGACUGGGAUAACUUCGGGAAACCGGAGCUAAUACCGGAUAAUAUAUUGAACCGCAUGGUUCAAUAGUGAAAGACGGUUUUGCUGUCACUUAUAGAUGUAUCCGCGCCGCAUUAGCUAGUUGGUAAGGUAACGGCUUACCAAGGCAACGAUGCGUAGCCGACCUGAGAGGGUGAUCGGCCACACUGGAACUGAGACACGGUCCAGACUCCUACGGGAGGCAGCAGUAGGGAAUCUUCCGCAAUGGGCGAAAGCCUGACGGAGCAACGGCGCGUGAGUGAUGAAGGUCUUCGGAUCGUAAAACUCUGUUAUUAGGGAAGAACAAAUGUGUAAGUAACUAUGCACGUCUUGACGGUACCUAAUCAGAAAGCCACGGCUAACUACGUG